This 656-nucleotide ribosomal RNA is filed under the name Bacillus sp. AT-MI-47. RNAcentral's name for it is "bacterial SSU rRNA". It matches the Rfam family "Bacterial small subunit ribosomal RNA", at positions 1 to 632 of the family's 1533-position model. Lineage: Bacteria; Bacillati; Bacillota; Bacilli; Caryophanales; Bacillaceae. The record is from RNAcentral.
GGGAUCGCCCUUAGAGUUUGAUCCUGGCUCAGGAUGAACGCUGGCGGCGUGCCUAAUACAUGCAAGUCGAGCGAAUGGAUUAAGAGCUUGCUCUUAUGAAGUUAGCGGCGGACGGGUGAGUAACACGUGGGUAACCUGCCCAUAAGACUGGGAUAACUCCGGGAAACCGGGGCUAAUACCGGAUAAUAUUUUGAACUGCAUGGUUCAAAAUUGAAAGGCGGCUUCGGCUGUCACUUAUGGAUGGACCCGCGUCGCAUUAGCUAGUUGGUGAGGUAACGGCUCACCAAGGCAACGAUGCGUAGCCGACCUGAGAGGGUGAUCGGCCACACUGGGACUGAGACACGGCCCAGACUCCUACGGGAGGCAGCAGUAGGGAAUCUUCCGCAAUGGACGAAAGUCUGACGGAGCAACGCCUCGUGAGUGAUGAAGGCUUUCGGGUCGNAAAACUCUGUUGUUAGGGAAGAACAAGUGCUAGUUGAAUAAGCUGGCACCUUGACGGUACCUAACCAGAAAGCCACGGCUAACUACGUGCCAGCAGCCGCGGUAAUACGUAGGUGGCAAGCGUUAUCCGGAAUUAUUGGGCGUAAAGCGCGCGCAGGUGGUUUCUUAAGUCUGAUGUGAAAGCCCACGGCUCAACCGUGGAGGGUCAUUGGAAA